UACGUAGGGUCCGAGCGUUGUCCGGAGUUACUGGGCGUAAAGCGCGCGCAGGCGGCUCGUCAAGUCUGGCGUGAAAGCCCCCGGCUCAACCGGGGAGGGUCGUCGGAGACUGGCGAGCUUGAGGGCGGUAGGGGCUGGUGGAAUUCCCGGUGUAGUGGUGAAAUGCGUAGAGAUCGGGAGGAACACCCGUGGCGAAGGCGGCCAGCUGGGCCGUCCCUGACGCUGAGGCGCGAAGGCGUGGGGAGCGAACGGG
Molecule: ribosomal RNA, 253 nt
Filed under: uncultured bacterium
Lineage: Bacteria
Also listed under: 1 other name
Description: partial 16S ribosomal RNA
Rfam family: Bacterial small subunit ribosomal RNA
Source: RNAcentral